GGGAGAUCAAAAUGAAAAAAAAAAGUAAAUAAUAUUAAACAAUGAACAACUAUUGUUUUUAUCCUGCAGUCUAAUAUUAUAGAUUUUUUUCUCUCAACGUUUGUCUUAAUUUUAUAGAAAUCAACAUGGUUAAAACAGAUCCUGUGUCCAUGCUUUACUCUCACGGAUUUGAUGGGACUGUGUCCUACUUUCUGUUCUAGAAAUGAUCAUAUCAGCCAAUCAAAUCUCUGCUUUCAAAUUUUGAAGUGGUGUUUUAUUUCGAAAAAAAACAAAGGAUCCCAAAAUGUCUCUAAACAGAAAGUAGAAUGGAGUGUUGUCAGAAUCUUGCAAGCUAAGCUAGAACAUAAGAUCUGUAUGUCAAUAUGAUUAAAAAAGAAGAGAACUAAAAAAAUACAGUUAUUGGCCGUUAUUUUAACAUAACUAUGAUGAGUUAGAAUUUAAUUUUAUACCUGUUGAUUGUACAAUACCUGGUUAAUUGCAGGAUGAAUAAAUUACCUGCAUCUUUUAAAAUUAGCUCAGCAAGAAUAAGUAAAUCUGCUGUAAUCUAUGUUAUUGUUGACAUUUAAUGUGUUCUGUUUUUAAUAUGAGAUUGUACUUAAAUGUGAUAUGUUGUGAUUCAUAACU
Molecule: long non-coding RNA, 624 nt
Filed under: Mytilus galloprovincialis (Mediterranean mussel)
Lineage: Eukaryota; Metazoa; Mollusca; Bivalvia; Mytilida; Mytilidae
Source: RNAcentral